CUAGACUCCUACGGGAGGCAGCAGUGGGGAAUAUUGCACAAUGGGGGAAACCCUGAUGCAGCGACGCCGCGUGAGUGAAGAAGUAUUUCGGUAUGUAAAGCUCUAUCAGCAGGGAAGAAAAUGACGGUACCUGACUAAGAAGCCCCGGCUAACUACGUGCCAGCAGCCGCGGUAAUACGUAGGGGGCAAGCGUUAUCCGGAUUUACUGGGUGUAAAGGGAGCGUAGACGGCAUGGCAAGUCAGAUGUGAAAGCCCGGGGCUCAACCCCGGGACUGCAUUUGAAACUGUCAGGCUGGAGUGCAGGAGAGGUAAGUGGAAUUCCUAGUGUAGCGGUGAAAUGCGUAGAUAUUAGGAGGAACACCAGUGGCGAAGGCGGUCUGCUGGACAGCAACUGACGCUGAGGCGCGAAAGCGUGGGGAGCAAACAGGAUUAGAUACCCGUGUA
Molecule: ribosomal RNA, 444 nt
Filed under: uncultured bacterium
Lineage: Bacteria
Description: bacterial SSU rRNA
Rfam family: Bacterial small subunit ribosomal RNA
Source: RNAcentral